UACGUAGGGACCAAGCGUUGUUCGGAUUUACUGGGCGUAAAGGGCGCGUAGGCGGCUUAACAAGUCACUUGUGAAAUCUCCGGGCUUAACUCGGAACGGCCAAGUGAAACUGUCAAGCUAGAGUGCAGAAGGGGCAAUCGGAAUUUCCUGUGUAGCGGUGAAAUGCGUAGAUAUAGGAAGGAACACCAGUGGCGAAGGCGACCACCUGGACUGAUACUGACACUGAGGUGCGAAAGCGUGGGGAGCAAACAGG
Molecule: ribosomal RNA, 253 nt
Filed under: uncultured bacterium
Lineage: Bacteria
Description: partial 16S ribosomal RNA
Rfam family: Bacterial small subunit ribosomal RNA
Source: RNAcentral